UUUUAUUUCUUUCUUUCGUUUUUCUCUCUCUAGCUCUCCUUUGUAAUAUAUUUAGCAAAUAAAUAAAAAGGUUCUAGCCGCAGUUUGGAUACUAUUCAGGCCUUGUACUACAACUAUUUUAAGAUAUUUAAUCUUUCUUCUUCUAUUGUGCUUUUAAUACAACUUCUUCCCUCUUCCAGCCGUGACUAUGUCCGACUAAAAAAGCCUUUUAUAUCCAUGUUGAAGAUCUAACCUCAUUUACGUGGUAACUAUGAAAGAUCCAGACUCUAUCAAAAUGUGAAUAAAUUUUUCUAUAGUUUUUCGACUUGGUUUCAAAAUGGUGGUACAGUCAAGUUUAAUAAACUUAUGUUGACUUUGUCUCAGUGACUACGUCUAGUAAGUUGUGCCUCUUUAGCCCGUUAUAAUGAUGAAGAAAGGGUGACUUUUUGCACAAUUAGAACUUCUAGACACAUGGGUUAAACAUAAGUCUAUUGAAUCUUUGACAGACCCCUUGUUUGGGUAAAAGGUUUCAUGCAGUUGUUAAGCUAUUUGAAAAUUCUUUUAUAUUUUGAUCGGUGCUUUGGUUCGGUUUUUCGACUAUGGCUUAAUCCGGUAUUGUUAUAAAGGUCUGACAGGCUGAGCGGCUUAUCCCAGCCAUGUGAGAUCCUGUAAUAAGAGUGAUCAAUUAAUUAUAUAAUUGAUUAUCUUAAUAUACUAGAUUUUGACUAAAUCGUUCAUCAAUCGAUCACUACAUGAUACAUAUAUAUAUAUAUAUGAACUCUUGAAUGCGUAUAUAUAUAUAUAUAUAUAUUACAUCCGCAAGUAUAUUACU
This 811-nucleotide long non-coding RNA is filed under the name Capsicum annuum. RNAcentral describes it as "long non-coding RNA (CANN_LNC007647)". Lineage: Eukaryota; Viridiplantae; Streptophyta; Magnoliopsida; Solanales; Solanaceae. The record is from RNAcentral.